This 464-nucleotide ribosomal RNA is filed under the name Saccharomyces cerevisiae (brewer's yeast). RNAcentral's name for it is "partial large subunit ribosomal RNA". It matches the Rfam family "Eukaryotic large subunit ribosomal RNA", at positions 49 to 510 of the family's 3401-position model. Lineage: Eukaryota; Fungi; Ascomycota; Saccharomycetes; Saccharomycetales; Saccharomycetaceae. The record is from RNAcentral.
AGCUGAGGAAAAGAAACCAACCGGGAUUGCCUUAGUAACGGCGAGUGAAGCGGCAAAAGCUCAAAUUUGAAAUCUGGUACCUUCGGUGCCCGAGUUGUAAUUUGGAGAGGGCAACUUUGGGGCCGUUCCUUGUCUAUGUUCCUUGGAACAGGACGUCAUAGAGGGUGAGAAUCCCGUGUGGCGAGGAGUGCGGUUCUUUGUAAAGUGCCUUCGAAGAGUCGAGUUGUUUGGGAAUGCAGCUCUAAGUGGGUGGUAAAUUCCAUCUAAAGCUAAAUAUUGGCGAGAGACCGAUAGCGAACAAGUACAGUGAUGGAAAGAUGAAAAGAACUUUGAAAAGAGAGUGAAAAAGUACGUGAAAUUGUUGAAAGGGAAGGGCAUUUGAUCAGACAUGGUGUUUUGUGCCCUCUGCUCCUUGUGGGUAGGGGAAUCUCGCAUUUCACUGGGCCAGCAUCAGUUUUGGUGGC